Molecule: non-coding RNA, 70 nt
Organism: Xiphophorus maculatus (southern platyfish)
Lineage: Eukaryota; Metazoa; Chordata; Actinopteri; Cyprinodontiformes; Poeciliidae
Source: Ensembl
GGUAAGAUGGCUGAGUGUUAAGCGGUGGAUUGUAGACCCAUGAACGGAGGCUCAACUCCUCCUCUUGCCA